Molecule: non-coding RNA, 104 nt
Filed under: Salix viminalis (osier)
Lineage: Eukaryota; Viridiplantae; Streptophyta; Magnoliopsida; Malpighiales; Salicaceae
Source: RNAcentral
GAGAGCCGGAUGGAGGGGAGACCCUCACAUCCGGUUCGGAGGGCGGGGAUUAUCCCGGACCUACUUCAUUAUGCCUUCUGCAAUGUUACUUGGUUCAACUCUAU